AUUGAACGCUGGCGGCAGGCCUAACACAUGCAAGUCGAGCGAGCGGCGGACGGGUGAGUAAUGUCUGGGAAACUGCCUGAUGGAGGGGGUAACUACUGGAAACGGUGGCUAAUACCGCCUACCAUCAUAUGUUCCCCCCUGGGAUUAACUAGUAGGUGGGGUAACGGCGCACCUAGGCGACGACCCCUAGCUGGUCUGAGAGGAUGACCAGCCACACUGGAACUGAGACACGGGCCAGACUCCUACGGGAGGCAGCAGUGGGGAAUAUUGCACAAUGGGCGCAAGCCUGAUGCAGCCAUGCCGCGUGUGUGAAGAAGGCCUUCGGGUUGUAAAGCACUUUCAGCGGGGAGGCGUUACCCGCAGAAGAAGCACCGGCUAACUCCGUGCCAGCAGCCGCGGUAAUAC
RNAcentral lists this ribosomal RNA (405 nucleotides) under uncultured bacterium. Its description in RNAcentral is "partial 16S ribosomal RNA". It matches the Rfam family "Bacterial small subunit ribosomal RNA", at positions 30 to 526 of the family's 1533-position model. The record is from RNAcentral.